CAGCCGCCGCGGUAAUACAGAGGAUGCAAGCGUUAUCCGUAAUCACUGGGCAUAAAGCGUCUGUAGGUGGUUUGGUAAGUCUGCUGUUAAAGACUGGGGCUCAACCCCAGAAAAGCAGUGGAAACUGCCAGACUUGAGUGUGGUAGAGGUAGAGGGAAUUCCUAGUGUAGCGGUGAAAUGCGUAGAUAUUAGGAAGAACACCAAUGGCGAAGGCACUCUACUGGACCAUAACUGACACUGAGAGACGACAGCUAGGGGAGCAAAUGGGAUUAGAUACCCCAGUAGUCCUAGCCGUAAACGAUGGAUACUAGAUGUUGCACGUAUUAACCCGUGCAGUAUCGUAGCUAAGGCGUUAAGUAUCCCGCCCGGGAAGUACGCUCGCAAGAGUGAAACUCAAAGGAAUUGACGG
This 409-nucleotide ribosomal RNA is filed under the name bacterium enrichment culture clone LiUU-17-763. RNAcentral describes it as "bacterial SSU rRNA". It matches the Rfam family "Bacterial small subunit ribosomal RNA", at positions 509 to 916 of the family's 1533-position model. The record is from RNAcentral.